CAGCCGCCGCGGUAAUACGAAGGGGGCUAGCGUUGCUCGGAAUUACUGGGCGUAAAGGGAGCGUAGGCGGACAUUUAAGUCAGGGGUGAAAUCCCAGAGCUCAACUCUGGAACUGCCUUUGAUACUGGGUGUCUUGAGUGUGAUAGAGGUAUGUGGAACUCCGAGUGUAGAGGUGAAAUUCGUAGAUAUUCGGAAGGACACCAGUGGCGAAGGCGACAUACUGGAUCAUUACUGACGCUGAGGCUCGAAAGCGUGGGGAGCAAACAGGAUUAGAUACCCCAGUAGUCCCUGUCUCUUAUAA
RNAcentral lists this ribosomal RNA (301 nucleotides) under uncultured bacterium. Its description in RNAcentral is "partial 16S ribosomal RNA". It matches the Rfam family "Bacterial small subunit ribosomal RNA", at positions 509 to 809 of the family's 1533-position model. The record is from RNAcentral.